RNAcentral lists this ribosomal RNA (836 nucleotides) under Haptophyta environmental samples. Its description in RNAcentral is "bacterial SSU rRNA". It matches the Rfam family "Bacterial small subunit ribosomal RNA", at positions 481 to 1325 of the family's 1533-position model. Lineage: Eukaryota; Haptophyta. The record is from RNAcentral.
GAGGAAUAAGCAUCGGCUAACUCCGUGCCAGCAGCCGCGGUAAUACGGGGGAUGCAAGCGUUAUCCGGAAUCAUUGGGCGUAAAGCGCCUGUAGGUUGUUUAAUAAGUCUGUUGUUAAAGACUAGGGCUCAACCCUAGAAAAGCAAUGGAAACUACUAGACUAGAGUAUGGCAGGGGUAGAGGGAAUUUCUAGUGUAGCGGUGAAAUGCGUAGAUAUUAGAAAGAACACCGGUGGCGAAAGCGCUCUACUGGACCAUUACUGACACUCAGAGGCGAAAGCUAGGGUAGCAAAAGGGAUUAGAUACCCCUGUAGUCCUAGCCGUAAACGAUGGAUACUAGAUGUUGGAUUUAUUUUACAGUAUCGUAGCUAACGCGUUAAGUAUCCCGCCUGGGGAGUACGCUCGCAAGGGUGAAACUCAAAGGAAUUGACGGGGGCCCGCACAAGCGGUGGAGCAUGUGGUUUAAUUCGAUGCAACGCGAAGAACCUUACCAGGGCUUGACAUACUGCGAAUCUUUUUGAAAGAAGAGAGUGCCUUCGGGAAUGCAGAUACAGGUGGUGCAUGGCUGUCGUCAGCUCGUGUCGUGAGAUGUUGGGUUAAGUCCCGCAACGAGCGCAACCCUUGUUUUUAGUUACCAACUUGUUGGGUUUUCUAGAAAGACUGCCGGUGACAAACCGGAGGAAGGUGAGGAUGACGUCAAGUCAGCAUGCCCCUUAUGUCCUGGGCUACACACGUGCUACAAUGGCUAGGACAAAGAGUCGCAAGUUUGCAAAAACAAGCUAAUCUCGUAAACCUAGCCUAAGUUCAGAUUGUAGGCUGCAACUCGCCUACGUGAAG